RNAcentral lists this transfer RNA (62 nucleotides) under Erpobdella octoculata. Its description in RNAcentral is "tRNA-Phe". The record is from RNAcentral. Lineage: Eukaryota; Metazoa; Annelida; Clitellata; Hirudinida; Erpobdellidae. RNAcentral also lists the same sequence under 1 other name.
AUUUAGAUAGAUUAAAUAAAUCAUUUCCCUGAAGAGGAAAAAAUAAGGAAACUUUCUAAAUA